UACGUAGGGGGCAAGCGUUGUCCGGACUUACUGGGCGUAAAGCGCGCGCAGGUGGAUGAGUAUGUGCCGUGUGAAAGCGCCGUCCUUACGAUGGCGAGGUCAUGGUAGACAGCUUAUCUCGAGGCUCAGAGAGGUUGAUGGAAUUCCGGGUGGAGCGGUGAAAUGCGUAGAUAUCCGGAGGAACACCAGGGGCGAAGGCGGUCAACUGGCUGAGUUCUGACACUGAGGCGCGACGGCGUGGGGAGCAAAC
Molecule: ribosomal RNA, 250 nt
Filed under: uncultured bacterium
Lineage: Bacteria
Description: partial 16S ribosomal RNA
Rfam family: Bacterial small subunit ribosomal RNA
Source: RNAcentral